RNAcentral lists this ribosomal RNA (253 nucleotides) under uncultured bacterium. RNAcentral describes it as "partial 16S ribosomal RNA". It matches the Rfam family "Bacterial small subunit ribosomal RNA", at positions 524 to 776 of the family's 1533-position model. The record is from RNAcentral.
UACAGGGGGUGCAAACGUUGCUCGGAAUUAUUGGGCGUAAAGCGCGCGUAGGCGGCCGCUUAAGUCGGAUGUGAAAGCCCCUGGCUCAACUGGGGAAGUGCACCCGAAACUGAGUGGCUUGAGUACUAAAGAGGGUCGCGGAAUUCCCGGUGUAGAGGUGAAAUUCGUAGAUAUCGGGAGGAACACCGGUGGCGAAGGCGGCGACCUGGGUAGAUACUGACGCUGAGGCGCGAAAGCCAGGGGAGCGAACGGG